GUGGAGCAUGUGGCUUAAUUUGACUCAACGCGGGAAAUCUUACCGGGUCCGGACACACUGAGGAUUGACAGGUGUUUUGCAUAAGGCACUUGUGUUUACCACUUUAUGUGGUGCACUCGUGUUAUUUUUGCAUUUUAAAUAUGCUAGUCCUUUCAUGAUUGUGUGAUAGGUGGUGCAUGGCCGUUCUUAGUUCGUGGAGUGAUCUGUCUGCUUAAUUGCGUUUCACUUACGAUUCAGCCAGGGCUCUUAUUGCAUCUGUGACCUCAUGCUUCGCGGUGUGAUUGUGUCCGGUGCGAUAGACCCUGAUGAAUCUUGAAAGCAACGAACGUGACCGCAUCCUCUUGUUGCCUCACUUGUGUUCAGAUUUUAAUCUGUCGCACUUUCAUACAUAAAAUUUUUUUUUUAUGUGUGUCUGUAGUUGAGGGGAACUAGAGGGACCGCUGACAAUUCUUAAACCAGAGGAAGGUUGCGGCAAUAACAGGUCUGUGAUGCCCUUAGAUGUUCCGGGCUGCACACGUGCUACAAUGAUUAUUGCAGUGAGCAUCUUACCCAGUUCGUGUGCACAGAUACCUAUUUGUUAAAUGCCUUUUCCGUGCUGAUGAUGUGUCUCCGGACAUGGAAACAGCGUAGAGACUGCAUACAAUAUAGGUCACUCAGAUGCAUUUAACGACUAGGCUACUUCGAAAGUAAGUGGCUAAUCAAUUCGAAGUAAUGAUUUCCCUAAGCUAUUGAUGUACUUGACUUUUUUGUCGAUACAUCAGCUUCAUCAGUUCGUGGUGGGGACAGACCAUUGUUAAUUAUUGGUCUCGGUCUCAACUAGGAAUGCCUUGUACGGGUCUUUGGUUCAUCAGACCACCCGGAAUAUGUCCCUGCCCUUUGUACACACCGCCCGUCGCUCUUACCGAUGGACUUCUCUGUGAGUUUGAGGGACUGGAAACUUUCUUUCUAUGGAAACUCAAACAAACAGUGGGGUCUAAAG
Molecule: ribosomal RNA, 979 nt
Filed under: Foraminifera sp. AM4
Lineage: Eukaryota; Foraminifera
Description: bacterial SSU rRNA
Rfam family: Eukaryotic small subunit ribosomal RNA
Source: RNAcentral